AAAAUACAAAAUUAGAUCUAAAAACCAAACUAACUUCUCGGUAACCAAACUGUCAGUACCAGAAAGUCAUAUAUGAAUUUGGGUAGCUAUAAAAAAAGAUCUACUGGCAAAAAUAUGCAGAAAUAUGGAAAAUGACCUAAGGUUUCAUUACAAUAUCCACUACUAAAGGAACUUUCGUCCCUGAAAGUUAAAGAUUAGGAUAUUUCUAAAGUCUAG
Molecule: long non-coding RNA, 216 nt
Filed under: Capsicum annuum
Lineage: Eukaryota; Viridiplantae; Streptophyta; Magnoliopsida; Solanales; Solanaceae
Description: long non-coding RNA (CANN_LNC012537)
Source: RNAcentral